Molecule: long non-coding RNA, 1968 nt
Organism: Salarias fasciatus (jewelled blenny)
Lineage: Eukaryota; Metazoa; Chordata; Actinopteri; Blenniiformes; Blenniidae
Exons: 3
Source: RefSeq, a predicted model, not a curated record
AAGAAAAUGUGGUUCAGAAGCUGUUUGUCAUUCGCCACAUUGGCUUGACGCACAUGGCAGAAAAAGAAAGUAAAGACGUUUGGUAUCAUUUCACUGUGACUUUAGAAAGUACUAGAAAGCAAAAAAAGCAGCCACGCGUAAUGGAUAAAACUUAAAAUAUGACUCAGUGGUGACACCGAGGCGACUUUCCCUCUUCACCGUGGCUUGCUCGUCCUCACCGCCACACAUAACUCAAUGUCCGUGAUAAUACUAGUUUAACAGUGAUAAGGAAUUAUCGGACCAGUACCGGUUCCUGUCAUGUGGUACUGGGUCGCACAGAUGAUCAGUUCAUUUGUGACUGUAAACACUCCUAGCACGCGAUGCACAGCUGCUGCUCGGGAGUAGUCGAAGGGAGGCUGCUGUUGAAGGUCUGCUUCCCCGCGGUAGGGACGGCGGUACACCAUCAGCAGACCCUGUGGGACCUCCAGAGGAUUCAGGUUUAUUGUUAUUAUACGUGACAGCGAUGCUGUCGUAGCAUUAGCUAUGAGGCUAGCGCCACAUUAUUAUGGGCACCAUCGAAACGCAUUUUUAACAUUCUUUUCACAAAAACUUUCCAUGUCCUGUUAUUGGUGUGUUUAUAUUUACAUAUAUGAUAUGAAAUAACAAUUUUAUUUCUACUAAUUUUUUUGUGCCUCAAAAGUAGGUCAAACUUGUAUAGGCUGGAACAUUAUAAAUCACAGGACUUACUGAAAUACAACACUGAAAGGCCAUUUUUCACCUGUCAGAAAAUGAUGAGCGAAUAUCUUUAUCUAUAUUUUUGUGUUUAUCUGAAUAUCUUUAAGAACAUUAUCUCAAAAUACCUGUUUUUCCUGCUAAAAAGUGAAUAAUGCAGUGAUAACUGCAUUUAAAUUGUACUUCCAUCUGGUGCAAAGAGACAGUUAUAAAAUAUAUUCUGCAGGGUCAUGACUAUGCAAAAUAAGUACCUUAGGUAUCAGAAAAUAACUUAUGUGUCAGGGUGCUACUAAAAAAUCUGGUACACAAAUCCUAACCUAUUCUUUUUUUUCUUUUGCAGGUGCCUAAAACAAUCUGAUCCUGUUAAAAGAGGUGCAUCAUUUACAUUUUCAACACUGGUAUUCUUAAAACCCCGGUGUGCGAAUAACCAUGUAGGAGCUCAAUCAGCAAGAAGAGGUCCAUUUUUCUGAUGAGCCUUCCCCAUUUUCUGGAGGAUGAACCUUCACACUUUGUCCAGAUUGUCGAGGCCACAGACGAUGAGAACAAGUACACAAAGGGGGUGAAAGUGGGCGUCGCUAUCGUCAAAGAGGGAGAUGACAUCAUCAAUGCUGCGGUGGUCCUUGAGGAGGCAGUUGUCCUAUGCGACUUGGAUGAGAUUCCCAACGCUAUUGCCAUGCUUAUGGGACUUCUUUAUGCACUAAAUAUCGAUUACCCAAAAGAACUGAAAUACACCUUUCAGGUCAUCCAGAGGGUCCUUGUGAAUAUUGGUGCCGGACAGUUUUCCUCAGUUGUGCAUGGCCUAUGCAAUCGACUUUUGAGGAAAAAGCUGUAAGAAGGUUCAUAUGCAGAGUCAAGUGAUCUCCAGAUUUGUUCAUAGCAUAGUGUGCAGAAUAUUGUGUAGGUCACACUGUGUCCAGAUUUGAAGAUUUGUUCAAGGAUAAAUUUGUGUAGGUCGCACUGUGUCCAGAUUUGUUCAAGCGUAGUAUGCAGAAUAUUGUGUAGGUCACACUGUGUCCAGACUGUAGAUUUGUUCAACGAUAAUAUUGUGUAGGUCACUCCGUGUCCAGAUUUGUUGAAGGAGAAUUAUUGUGCACGUCACACUGUACAGAUUUGUUGAAGGAUAAUGUGCAGUGUUGAGUAAGGAACACUGUACCCAGAUUUGUUCAAGAACUAUUUGACAUGUAAACUUUUGUAUAAGUCAUACUGUGCCCAGGUUGUUAAAAGAAAAUUGUGCAGAGUGCUGAAAAAGUAAUAUUG